Molecule: long non-coding RNA, 344 nt
Filed under: Malus domestica (apple)
Lineage: Eukaryota; Viridiplantae; Streptophyta; Magnoliopsida; Rosales; Rosaceae
Description: long non-coding RNA (MDOM_LNC019683)
Source: RNAcentral
GAAGCUAGGAAUGUGUUUCAAAGUUGAAGAAUUGAAGAUGCAAAGUUUCCUAAUUGAAGUAGGAAAGUGCCUAAUUGAAGAUGAAAUCCUAGUCAACAAUGGAUUCCUAGUUGAAGUUGGAUUUCUAGAAGAUUAAAGAUUCAUACUCAAUCAAGGUUUCCUACUUGAAGAAGGAAAGUUAAAAGCCAAAGAAUCAGCUCAAGUGAAGAAACCUUAUCCAAAACAUUAUCCAUAACCUUAUCCUAUCCUAUCUUAUCCUAAUCCUAAUCUACCUAUAUUUCAGCUACAAAAGGGAUUUCUUUUCCUAUUUGGAGACUUAAAACCUGAUUUCUAGAAGCCUUAUC